Felis catus (domestic cat) is the source of this 1040-nucleotide long non-coding RNA. RefSeq lists it as uncharacterized. The record is from RefSeq and is a predicted model, not a curated record. The transcript is spliced from 2 exons. Lineage: Eukaryota; Metazoa; Chordata; Mammalia; Carnivora; Felidae.
CUGAUCGAAUUUGACUCAUCCAUAACCAGAUGGCAUUUGAGAGGCUGGAUGGCAGGUAGGAGGUGGCUCCACUCUUUAAUUUUUCUAAAGCAGAGGCAGGUACUCCUAUUAGCAGGUCUCACUCAGAGCUGGUGACUGGAGAGAGAAAACCUCACAGGCAGACACACAAUUCAUCAAAAUUCUAAAUUCUAAGUCUGGUGGAAUCCAGUCUGGCUCCCCAGACGCUUGGAGGGGCAGUGGCCACCAGCUCUCCUUUCUCCUAGGGUCUGGAGCUAAGGAAAACCUGGCCUCCAAGCAGGAAAGAGCCAGUGCAAGGGAGCUAGGCUCCCUCCUCUCUGCUUGGUGAGCAGGAGAGGAGAUAGGAGGGAAUUGUGCCAAGGUCACUGUGUUCCGGGUCAGUGUGUUCCAGCUUUGAAGUCAGAGAGCCGCUGGUGUCCAGGCAAGAAAAAUGCUUCAGGGCGCUCCACCUGCCAGGCCGCUGACAAGUUCCAGCUGGGCCUCAGCCUCCAAGCAGCUGUAUGCUCCCAGGAGGCCACGCUCACCAAAGACUGCCUUUCCAGCCCCAGAAGCAUCGUUAGGAACCUGUGACUACAGAGACAGCCAAGCCAUGGAGCACCCAACAGCCUCACUCAUGUGCCCAGUCCCGGACCCCCCAGAAAAGGCAUUCAGAGAUGGAGCCUGGGGAGAGCACUGAAGUCUUGGAACAGCAAUGCCACAACCCACAUGCUUCGUGCUUCCUUCUGCCCCUGAGCCCAGCCACCCAGAGCAGGCCAGCAGGCUCAGAUGUGGGCACACUGGGGAUCACCACCUCCUGCACUUAGGGCAAGCCCCAGUUUGCUGUUCUCACAAGGGGCCAGGGCUAAAGACCUAAUGAAAAUGUGGUUCCCCUUGGAAAAGCAGGAGGGAAAAGUACUAUUCAAAGCACUAAGAUACAAAGCUUUUUCCUUUCUUCCACAGCCUUACUCUUGACUUGUCAUGGUGUCUUUUAUUUGCUAUUUAAUGCCAUUCUAAAGAAAGCAUAAUUAAAAUUGUAAACUACU